This 795-nucleotide ribosomal RNA is filed under the name uncultured bacterium. RNAcentral describes it as "bacterial SSU rRNA". It matches the Rfam family "Bacterial small subunit ribosomal RNA", at positions 62 to 890 of the family's 1533-position model. The record is from RNAcentral.
UCGCACGAGAAAGUGGAGCAAUCCAUGAGUACAGUGGCGUACGGGUGAGUAACACGUGGAUCAUCUACCUUCUAGUGGGGAAUACCUCCGGGAAACUGGAGACAAUACCGCAUAAGCUCGUAAGAGGAAAGCAGCAAUGCGCUGGAAGAGGAGUCCGCGGCUGAUUAGCUAGUUGGCGGGGUAAUGGCCCACCAAGGCGAAGAUCGGUAGCCGGCCUGAGAGGGCACACGGCCACACUGGCACUGAAAUACGGGCCAGACUCCUACGGGAGGCAGCAGUGGGGAAUCUUGCACAAUGGAGGAAACUCUGAUGCAGCGACGCCGCGUGAGCGAUGAAGCCCUUCGGGGUGUAAAGCUCUUUCGACGGGAACGAUAAUGACGGUACCCGAAGAAGAAGCUGCGGCUAACUACGUGCCAGCAGCCGCGGUAAUACGUAGGCAGCAAGCGUUGUUCGGAAUUACUGGGCGUAAAGAGUGUGUAGGCGGUGUUCUAAGUCUGUUGUGAAAUCUCCCGGCUUAACUGGGAGGGUGCGGCGGAAACUGGAAUGCUAGAGGAUGGGAGAGGUAAGCGGAAUUCCUGGUGUAGCGGUGAAAUGCGUAGAUAUCAGGAGGAACACCUGUGGUGUAGACAGCUUACUGGACCAUUUCUGACGCUGAGACACGAAAGCGUGGGUAGCAAACAGGAUUAGAUACCCUGGUAGUCCACGCCCUAAACGAUGCAUACUUGGUGUGAGCGAUUCAUUUCGUUCGUGCCGGAGCUAACGCGUUAAGUAUGCCGCCUGGGGAGUACGGUCGCA